RNAcentral lists this small nuclear RNA (19 nucleotides) under Arabidopsis thaliana (thale cress). RNAcentral describes it as "snRNA_18928". The record is from RNAcentral. Lineage: Eukaryota; Viridiplantae; Streptophyta; Magnoliopsida; Brassicales; Brassicaceae.
UAUUUAAAUUUACAAUCCA